Molecule: ribosomal RNA, 253 nt
Filed under: uncultured bacterium
Lineage: Bacteria
Description: partial 16S ribosomal RNA
Rfam family: Bacterial small subunit ribosomal RNA
Source: RNAcentral
UACAGAGGUCCCAAGCGUUGUUCGGAUUCACUGGGCGUAAAGGGUGCGUAGGUGGUCGGAUAAGUCUGAUGUGAAAUCUCCGAGCUCAACUCGGAAACGGCAUUGGAAACUAUUCGGCUUGAGGUCUGGAGGGGGGACUGGAAUUCUCGGUGUAGCAGUGAAAUGCGUAGAUAUCGAGAGGAACACCAGUGGCGAAGGCGAGUCCCUGGACAGGUCCUGACACUGAGGCACGAAAGCUAGGGGAGCAAACAGG